AGAGAAAAAGGAGAAGAGAGAGAGAGAGAGAGAGAGAGAGAGAGAGAGAGAGAGAGAGAGAGAGAGAGAGAGAGAGAGAGAGAAACUGAAUCUGGCUCCACCAAUGGGAUCUGUGACUGCACAGCGUCAGCCUGAUUCUUGCCGGGUCUCAGAACUUUUCAUCAAAGAAUGGCUCAGUUUCCCUCCAGGCCCUCAACACUGUGUCUACAUACCAUCUCUCAGAAGAUGUUUGCUUCCUCCUUUAGUGACCCAAUGUUCUAGCCUAUGAAGAUCCUUUGAAAUCCUGAUUCAUCCAGUGUGUCAGCUAUUCCUUCCAAAUUGGCAUCAUCUGCAAAUAUUAUCAUCAUAUAAUAUAUAAAAUAUUAUAUAUCAUAUAAUAGUAUGAAAUGUAUAUCAUGCAUAGCAUGUCAUCCAUGUUUGCAUUCAAAUUGUUGAUAAAAAUGUUAAAUGGUACAGGGCCAAAAAGAUCCCUGGGAUACUCCAAUGGAGACCUUCUUCCAAUAUGAACAUUGCAUCAUUCAUAUCUACUCGUUGAGACAAUUCAAUCAGUUCCUAAUCCAUCUAAUUGUACUAUCAGAGAGCCUACCUUCCUCUAUCCCCAACCCCAACACAGCAUCAAUUAUUCAACUGAAAAUUUUACAAAGCUCCUAAUUAUAUACCCACACCUUUUUUCUUAGCUUCUAGUUUUUAUACCUUGACCCAAACAGAAAUAAAGUUAAACAUUUAAUACUAUUCAUGAAUCACCCAUUCAUGACUAAUGCAUUAGGUUCUGGGAUAUAGAAGAAUGAAAUAAUAUCUGACCUUAGGACGUUUACACUAUCUUUGGAGGACACACUAUGUAUACAGUUAAGUCCCAGAUUGAUAUUUUGUGAUCCAGAGAAUGCUAACAGCUGGGUUCAGCAGAAAGGAUUCUUAUAGAGGAGAGCACCUAAGCUGAGUCUUGAAAGAAACCAGUGAUUCUUCUAAGUGAAGCUGAGGGGAGUAGUUCCUUUACUUGGGCAAAGGGAUGGAGAUAAAGGGGUAUAAUUGUAUUGGGAGACAGCUAAGUAGAUCUGUUUGCCUGGAAAGUAGAAGAAUGAAAAGGGAGUAAGAUGAAAUAUGUCUGCAAAGGUAGGUAGGAUCCAGGUAGUGGAGAGAUUUAACGUUUAUGAGGAAGACACUGUAUUUUAUUCUAGAACAAAAGAUCUUAGCUUGUUUUUGCAUCAUAAAUCCCAUCUCAUGUUUAAAAUAAAAGGCACAAGGUAAAAGAACCUCAUUAUACCAAAAUAAAAAUAUCAUUUUCCUCUCCAAAAUCCAUUAUAUCCCAUAUAAAAUUAUGGGCUCUUGUAGUCUGUGAAUCCAUGAAGAUCCCCUAUCCUAGAGACUAUGUUGACAAGAUUUUUGAGCAAAAUGUCAUGUUCAGACUUGUAUCUUAGUAGUAUUAAUUUGGCAGCUAGCUCUGUGGAGGAUGGCUUAGAGUGGUGAAGAAUUGGAAGUGAUGUGACCAAUUAGGAGGCUAUCACAACAAUCCAGGCAAGAAGUAAUGAAGGCCUUUGUUAAGGUGGUGACUGUGUAGAGAGGUGGUGACAGAGACAAGAUGUCAAUGGUAAGAUAGCCAAGAUUCUGCAACUGAUUAGAUAUGGCAGAUGAGGGGGAAAGGGAUAAUAAUAACAGC
Sarcophilus harrisii (Tasmanian devil) is the source of this 1654-nucleotide long non-coding RNA. RefSeq lists it as uncharacterized. Lineage: Eukaryota; Metazoa; Chordata; Mammalia; Dasyuromorphia; Dasyuridae. The record is from RefSeq and is a predicted model, not a curated record. The transcript has 4 exons.